Ribosomal RNA from Bison bison bison, 75 nucleotides. The record is from Ensembl. NCBI's taxonomy places the organism in Eukaryota, Metazoa, Chordata, Mammalia, Artiodactyla, Bovidae.
CUCGGAAGCUAAGCAGGGUCGGGCCUGGUUAGUAUCUUGGAUGGGAGACCACCUGGGAAUCCCGGGUGCUCGAGG